Monodelphis domestica (gray short-tailed opossum) is the source of this 575-nucleotide long non-coding RNA. RefSeq lists it as uncharacterized. The record is from RefSeq and is a predicted model, not a curated record. Lineage: Eukaryota; Metazoa; Chordata; Mammalia; Didelphimorphia; Didelphidae.
UGCAGUUUUUCUAAGAAUGCUUUACCUAAUGGCCUUUGCCAAAGAUAAUCUUGGUGGGAUUGACAAUCUGGUGAUUUGCUCAUGGGACCCAGCACUGGUGGCUGACUGGUGAGAAGAACACAUUGAAUGGGGAUUCAAGGUAGCAUAAGAAAAGGCACUCCUGACCCCUCAAGAGUACUUCCUAGAACCUUGAAGUGGAGAUAAAAAACCUUGCUGACUAAUCAGAACAAAGGGGAACUGAGAUAAGGGUUUCCUGAAUGUAUGUGAGCUUUUGGAAAUGAUUUUUUUUCCUUUUAAAAAAAUAGGGAAAGAUUUUUCUAAAAAGUUUCAGGAUAGGAAAGGAAAAUAAAAGAAAGCAGCAGAUUGCAUAGGUAAGAAAGAAAAGAAAUAAUCAGUAGGAACUUGAGUAUCCUGACAGUAUACCCUUUAUCUCCAAAAAUUUGACUACAACCAAGGAAAACUGCCUUGAGGCAAAAUCUUUGGUGAAAAGACAACAGGGCCUUUGGCCAAGGAGUUUACAGCUGUCCUUUGAUGUGAUUUGAAAGUCAAUGUCAAUAAAUUCAUAAAGGAAAGAG